GGCGGAGCAUGCGGAUUAAUUCGAUGCAACGCGAAGAACCUUACCAAGGCUUGACAUAUAGAGGAAAGGUGCAGAAAUGUACCCCCCGCAAGGUCUCUAUACAGGUGGUGCAUGGUUGUCGUCAGCUCGUGUCGUGAGAUGUUGGGUUAAGUCCCGCAACGAGCGCAACCCUCGUCCUAUGUUGCCAGCACGUAAUGGUGGGAACUCAUGGGAUACUGCCGGGGUCAACUCGGAGGAAGGUGGGGAUGACGUCAAAUCAUCAUGCCCCUUAUGUCUUGGGCUUCACGCAUGCUACAAUGGCCGGUACAGAGGGCUGCAAUACCGCAAGGUGGAGCGAAUCCCACAAAGCCGGUCUCAGUUCGGAUUGAGGUCUGCAACUCGACCUCAUGAAGUUGGAGUCGCUAGUAAUCGUGAAUCAGCAACGUCACGGUGAAUACGUUCCCGGGCCUUGUACACACCGCCCGUCAAGUCAUGAAAGUCGGUAACACCCGAAGCCGGUGGCCUAACCUUUUGGAGGGAGCCGUCGAAGGUGGGAUCGGUGAUUAGGACU
This 550-nucleotide ribosomal RNA is filed under the name uncultured Actinomycetes bacterium. RNAcentral's name for it is "bacterial SSU rRNA". It matches the Rfam family "Bacterial small subunit ribosomal RNA", at positions 931 to 1482 of the family's 1533-position model. The record is from RNAcentral. Lineage: Bacteria; Bacillati; Actinomycetota; Actinomycetes.